RNAcentral lists this ribosomal RNA (509 nucleotides) under uncultured bacterium. RNAcentral's name for it is "bacterial SSU rRNA". It matches the Rfam family "Bacterial small subunit ribosomal RNA", at positions 19 to 518 of the family's 1533-position model. The record is from RNAcentral.
AUGGCUCAGGAUGAACGCUAGCUACAGGCUUAACACAUGCAAGUCGAGGGGCAGCAUUGGGAUAGCUUGCUAUCCAGAUGGCGACCGGCGCACGGGUGAGUAACGCGUAUCCAACCUUCCCUAUAGUAGAGAAUAGCCCGGCGAAAGUCGGAUUAAUGCUCUAUGUUGUGUUUUGAGGACAUCUGACGAACACCAAAGGUUCACCGCUAUAGGAUGGGGAUGCGUCUGAUUAGCUUGUUGGCGGGGUAACGGCCCACCAAGGCGACGAUCAGUAGGGGUUCUGAGAGGAAGGUCCCCACAUUGGUACUGAGACACGGACCAAACUCCUACGGGAGGCAGCAGUGAGGAAUAUUGGUCAAUGGGCGAGAGCCUGAACCAGCCAAGUAGCGUGCAGGAAUGACUGCCCUAUGGGUUGUAAACUGCUUUUAUCAGGGAAUAAAGUGCGGCACGUGUGCCGUUUUGUAUGUACCUGAUGAAUAAGGACCGGCUAAUUCCGUGCCAGCCGCUGC